Molecule: long non-coding RNA, 675 nt
Filed under: Homo sapiens (human)
Lineage: Eukaryota; Metazoa; Chordata; Mammalia; Primates; Hominidae
Description: non-protein coding lnc-MCTP2-7:1
Source: RNAcentral
CUCAUCCUCGAGACACAUCCAAAGUCCCUGCCCCCAAAGACGUCCUCGCCCACCAGGUCCCGAACGCCAAGAAGCUCAGGCGGAAGGAGCAGCUAUGGGAGAAUCUGGCCAAGCAGGGCGAGCUGCCCCGGGAGGUGCGCAGGGCCCAGGCCCGGCUCCUCAACCCUCCCACAGCCGGGGCCAAGCCCGGGCCCCAGGACACCGUGGAGCGGCCCUUCUACGAACUCUGGGCAUCAGACAACCCCCUGGACUGGCCAUUGUUUGGCCAGGAUGAGUUUUUCCUGGAGCAGACCAAGAAGAAAGGAGUGAAGCGGCCACCACGCCUGCACACCAAGCCGUCCCAGGCACCCGCCGUGGAGGCCGAGGCUGACAAGCCCCGAAGGCUGGGGCGGCUCAAGUACCAGGCACCUGACAUCGACGUGCAGCUGAGCUCGGAGCUGGCAGACUCGCUCAGGACCCUGAAGCCCGAGGGCGACAUCCUUCGAGGCCGGUUCAAGAGCUUCCAGAGGAGGAAUAUGAUCCAGCCUCGACAGAGAGCCAAGUUCAAACCCAGGUACAAGGUGAAGCUGGGGGAGAAGCGGGCGUUCCGCGAGAUCCAGUUGUAGCUCCCAUCAGAGGCCGGAGCCUCGCCUUUCAAUAAAAAGUCCCUUCUAGCUAAAAAAAAAAAAAAAAAAA